Molecule: ribosomal RNA, 426 nt
Filed under: uncultured bacterium
Lineage: Bacteria
Description: bacterial SSU rRNA
Rfam family: Bacterial small subunit ribosomal RNA
Source: RNAcentral
GAAUUGUUCGCAAUGGGCGCAAGCCUGACGACGCAACGCCGCGUGGAGGAUGAAGAUCUUCGGGUCGUAAACUCCUGUCGAGCGGGAAGAACGUUCCGCGGUUGAAUAGACCGUGGAAGUGACGGUACCGCUAAAGGAAGGCCCGGCUACCUCCGUUCCAUCAGCCGCGGUAAUACGGGGGGGGCAAGCGUUGUUCGGAAUUACUGGGCGUAAAGGGCUCGUAGGUGGCCAACUAAGUCAGACGUGAAAUCCCCAGGCUCAACUUGGGAACUGCGUCUGAUACUGGUUGGCUUGAAUUCGGGAGAGGGAUGCAGAAUUCCAGGUGUAGCGGUGAAAUGCGUAGAUAUCUGGAGGAAUACCGGUGGCGAAGGCGGCAUCCUGGACCGAGAUUGACACUGAUGAGCGAAAGCCAGGGGAGCAAACGGG